CAGUAGCCGCGGUAAUACGUAGGGGGCAAGCGUUAUCCGGGAUUACUGGGUGUAAAGGGAGCGUAGACGGUUAAACAAGUCUGAAGUGAAAUGCCGGGGCUCAACCCCGGAGCUGCUUUGGGAACUGUAGAACUGGAGUGUCGGAGGGGUAAGCGGAAUUCCCAGUGUAGCAGUGAAAUGCGUAGAUAUUGGGAGGAACACCGGCGGCGAAGGCGGCUUACUGGACGACAACUGACGUUGAGGCUCGAAGGCGUGGGUAGCAGACAGGAUUAGAUACCCGGGUAGUCCCUGUCUCUUAUAA
This 301-nucleotide ribosomal RNA is filed under the name uncultured bacterium. RNAcentral describes it as "partial 16S ribosomal RNA". It matches the Rfam family "Bacterial small subunit ribosomal RNA", at positions 509 to 809 of the family's 1533-position model. The record is from RNAcentral.